AUUGAACGCUGGCGGCAUGCUUUACACAUGCAAGUCGAACGGUAACAGGCCUUCGGGUGCUGACGAGUGGCGAACGGGUGAGUAAUGCAUCGGAACGUGCCCAGAGGUGGGGGAUAACGCAGCGAAAGCUGUGCUAAUACCGCAUGUGAUCUGAGGAUGAAAGCGGGGGACCAGGCAGCAAUGUUUGGCCUCGCGCCUUUGGAGCGGCCGAUGUCAGAUUUGGUAGUUGGUGGGGUAAAGGCCUACCAAGCCGACGAUCUGUAGCUGGUCUGAGAGGACGACCAGCCACACUGGGACUGAGACACGGCCCAGACUCCUACGGGAGGCAGCAGUGGGGAAUUUUGGACAAUGGGCGCAAGCCUGAUCCAGCAAUGCCGCGUGCGGGAAGAAGGCCUUCGGGUUGUAAACCGCUUUUGUACGGAACGAAAAGGCUCUGGCUAAUACCUGGGGCUGAUGACGGUACCGUAAGAAUAAGCACCGGCUAACUACGUG
Molecule: ribosomal RNA, 492 nt
Filed under: uncultured bacterium
Lineage: Bacteria
Description: partial 16S ribosomal RNA
Rfam family: Bacterial small subunit ribosomal RNA
Source: RNAcentral